CAGGAGAGGUGGUUACCUACUGGAGAGGCUCUCGCCACGGCCUCUGCCUCUGUCACAGCUUCAGGCUUCUUGUCCUUUCUCUGGCGGGCCAGACCCAGACUUGUGACCAUGCACAGGUUCCUGAGCCGGACCAGGAGUGACCAGCGGACAUUUGGGAGUCACCUCUGGCUCGUUGUGUGUGGGCGUGGUCGUGGAGGGAGAGGAAGGCUCCGGGCCACAGGAUACAGGGGCAGGUCUCCGGCAUCUGGCUGAGUGAGACGUGAGGGACCCCCCUGCCCACACUGGCACGGGGCCUCUGCCCGGCCAGACACACCUGCCCCCUCCCACGCUGCAAGGGGCACAUCUUCUUCCUGUUGCCGCUGCAAGAAGACACAAAUCCUCACCCAGUGAAGAGCGAGUCAGCGGGUGGGCCAGCGCAGCACGCAUGAUACAUGGCGAAAUACGGGGUGGUCCCUGAGCACGUCGGAGAAGCCUGUAGGGUGCUGCCGUAACUGGAUGGUUACACUCUUCUGUGCAGACUGGCGUUUUCCCAUUUGUCUGUGACAUAGGAAGCUGCAAGAUGUCCACAGUAAAGCCAGUUUCAACCCAGUCCAGCCUGCAGAUAAAGACACGGCUUGGAAGUGGGAAGCUGACGGAGCCUGCGGAGGAUAGACUCACUGCCUCCCUGGCCUCCCAGGUGCUGUCCCUGUCACUGUGGUUUCUGGUCUCCUGGGGGCUCCUGGCACGUCUCUUGUUCUGCCGGGAGCACAGCGUCCACCUCUUGCCCUCGUCCGUGGCGCUUUGCCUGGGGACUCGGUUGAGCAAAAACACCGAUAUCAUAAAUUCAUUAAGUUUCACUUAAAUUUUUAUUUUUUAGUGUUUUUUAAAAAGAUUUUAUCUUUUUUUAGGCAGAGUAGAAGGGAGGGAGAGAGGGAGAGAAACAUCAGUGUGUGGUUGCCUCUCAUACGCCCCCUACUGGGGGCCUGGCCUGAGACCCAGGUGUGCGCCCUGACUGGGAAUUGAACUAGCAACCCUUUGGUUCACAGGCCAGUGCUCAGUCCACUGAGCCACACCAGCCAUGCCUGUAUGAAAAAAAUUUUUUUAAAGAACACUCACUUAUUGGGAUAAAUUCAGCAAAUACCAACCACCUACUGUACGGCAGUGAGCGAAAGCCACCGAGCCCGGGCCUCCGGAACUCCUGGUCUAGCGUGGUGGCGUGGCAGAACCAAACCUGCUGCGCUCACCUAGCACGAGCCGGGAUCCAGCCAGAUCAUAACCAUGGACCAUCUCCUGACGGGGCAGCGCCACCUUGCAGGCCGGACCUCGAGCAGCCCCGCCAGGCUCCAGGAUGCCCGGUCACGGGGCCGGUGCUCUUGCCCAGAGUUACUCCUUCCCUCCCAGGAGGGCUGCCUUCUCUCGUAGCCGAUGAGGAAGAGCGAGGACAUGGAAACCGGCUCUGGCCCCUGCUGGGCUCUUGCUGGUCACGGACUCUCUCCACGGAAUUUCCUCCACCGAAAAGGAGAGUUUGGACGCCAUGGCCUCUAGGGUGUCUACCGGCCGGGAAAGGCUCUGGCUCUUACCCAGAGAAAGGCCCUGCUGGACCAGACCCGCUUCUCUCUGUUCCCACAGCCCUGGCCCACCGAGCAGCCGCCCCCUGACUCCAGGUGGCUCCAGGUUAGUGCCCAGCGCCUGGGGGUGAGGUUCAGGCCUGUCCCUCCAGUCCUGUGUGCUGAUGCUGCUCACACUUGUCGCUUCCCAGGUGCAGGAGUUGCCCUGCUGGCUCUGGGUUCUCGCAGGAAGGAGCCCCGGGAAAGCAGAAAUCCGCUCCUGUCCUUCUACGCCCUGCAGAGGGCGCCCUGCCCCUGCAAUUGGUCUGUGUGCAUCUGGAGACAGUUGCUGAACUGAUCUGUUGUCUUCUCUGUGCUGAAUCACGCCUAUUUCUGUCCACCGCAUGUCUCUGAGCCGGGGCGGAGAGGACAGCAGGAGCGGGAAGC
This is a long non-coding RNA of Artibeus jamaicensis (Jamaican fruit-eating bat), 1973 nucleotides long. RefSeq lists it as uncharacterized. Lineage: Eukaryota; Metazoa; Chordata; Mammalia; Chiroptera; Phyllostomidae. The record is from RefSeq and is a predicted model, not a curated record. The transcript has 4 exons.